CACCCAACAGCUAGCCUAUAACCCAAGUUCAAUAAACCAUUAUUUAUAACCCCUCAUACACGAAACUAAAUAAACAAACCAUUUUUCCUCCUUAGUAUGGGCGACAGAAAAGGAAUAAUAGAGCUAUAGAAAAAGUACCGCAAGGGAACGCUGAAAAAGAAAUGAAAAAAUUCAGUAAAGUAAUAAAAAGCAGAGACUAAACCUCGUACCUUUUGCAUCAUGACUUAGCUAGCAACCCCAAGCAAAGUGAACUUUAGUUUGAAUCCCCGAAACUAAGUGAGCUACUUCAAGACAGCCCAUUAAGGGGCCAACCCGUCUCUGUGGCAAAAGAGUGGGAAGAGCUUUAAGUAGAGGUGACAGACCUAUCGAACUUAGUGAUAGCUGGUUGCCUGAGAACUGAAUAGAAGUUCAGCCUUUAGACUUCUUAAUACACCACCUUCAAACGUUUUUAAGAAAUCUAAAGAGUUAGUUAAAAGAGGUACAGCCUCUUUUAAAAAAGAUACAACUUUUAAAGGCGGGUAAAGAUCAUAAUUAAUCAAGGUAAAAUGUUUUAGUGGGCCUAAAAGCAGCCACCUAAAGAAAGCGUUAAAGCUCAGACAUACCCACCUCCUUAAAUACCGAUACCUUAUCUAAUCCCCCUAGUCCUAUCAGGCCGCUUCAUCUAGAUAUGAAGGCGUUUAUGCUAAUAUGAGUAAUAAGAGAACAUGACUCUCUCCUAGCACACGUUUAAAUCGGAACGAACACACACCGAAAGUUAUAGGUCCCAAGUAAAGAGGGUAUUGAGGAACAAACCAAACAACAAGAAAACCCCCCAACACGAAACCGUUAACCCCACACUGGAGUGCUCACAAGGAAAGACUAAAAGAAAAAGAAGGAACUCGGCAUACACAAGCCUCGCCUGUUUACCAAAAACAUCGCCUCUUGCAAAAAUAAAGAAUAAGAGGUCCCGCCUGCCCCGUGACAAUAGUUUAACGGCCGCGGUAUUUUGACCGUGCAAAGGUAGCGCAAUCACUUGUCUUUUAAAUGAAGACCUGUAUGAAUGGCAUAACGAGGGCUUAACUGUCUCCUUUUUCAAGUCAAUGAAAUUGAUCUCCCCGUGCAGAAGCGGGGAUACCUUCAUAAGACGAGAAGACCCUAUGAAGCUUUAGACACCAAAGCAGCUCCCGUAAACAUUUCUAAACAAAGAAUAAAACUAGAAGAGCUCUGCCCUAAUGUCUUUGGUUGGGGCGACCGCGGGGAAAAACAUAACCCCCAUGAGGAACAAGAGAACUUCUCUCACAACCAAGAGCUACAGCUCUAAUUAACAGAACAUCUGACCACCAGAUCCGGCAGCGCCGAUCAACGGACCGAGUUACUCUAGGGAUAACAGCGCAAUCUUCUUUUAGAGCCCAUAUCGACAAGAAGGUUUACGACCUCGAUGUUGGAUCAGGACAUCCUAAUGGUGCAGCCGCUAUUAAGGGUUCGUUUGUUCAACGAUUAAAGUCCU
RNAcentral lists this ribosomal RNA (1486 nucleotides) under Sphaerichthys osphromenoides (chocolate gourami). RNAcentral's name for it is "partial 16S ribosomal RNA". It matches the Rfam family "Bacterial large subunit ribosomal RNA", at positions 150 to 2597 of the family's 2925-position model. Lineage: Eukaryota; Metazoa; Chordata; Actinopteri; Anabantiformes; Osphronemidae. The record is from RNAcentral.